ACGCUCGACACCUACGGGAGGAGCAGUAGGGAAUCUUCCACAAUGGACGCAAGUCUGAUGGAGCAACGCCGCGUGAGUGAAGAAGGUCUUCGGAUCGUAAAACUCUGUUGUUAGAGAAGAACACGAGUGAGAGUAACUGUUCAUUCGAUGACGGUAUCUAACCAGCAAGUCACGGCUAACUACGUGCCGNNGCGCGUAUCGUANGNGGCNGGCAGGCAG
Molecule: ribosomal RNA, 219 nt
Filed under: uncultured bacterium
Lineage: Bacteria
Description: partial 16S ribosomal RNA
Rfam family: Bacterial small subunit ribosomal RNA
Source: RNAcentral